CAUGCAAUGUGGGAUCUGCCGAUGGUGAUGCUGCCUACGUUUACUCCUCUCCUCCUCCGCCGUAUGAGUACAAAUCGCCGCCACCUCCUUCCCCUUCCCCACCUCCUCCUUAUCUUUACAAGUCGCCGCCACCUCCUUCACCGUCUCCUCCUCCUCCUCCUUAUGUGUACAAGUCACCGCCACCUCCUUCACCGUCCCCACCACCACCAUACGUGUACAAGUCGCCACCACCACCUUCCCCGUCUCCGCCACCACCAUAUGAGUACAAGUCGCCGCCACCACCUUCCCCGUCUCCACCACCACCAUAUGAGUACAAAUCUCCUCCUCCACCAUCACCGUCACCUCCCCCCCCUUACCACCACUCCUCUCCACCACCACCUUCGCCAUCUCCUCCUCCACCUUACCACGACUCCUCUCCACCACCACCUUCGCCAUCUCCUCCUCCACCUUACCACGACUCCUCUCCACCACCACCUUCGCCAUCUCCUCCUCCACCUUACCACGACUCCUCUCCACCACCACCUUCGCCAUCUCCUCCUCCACCUUACCACGACUCCUCUCCACCACCACCUUCGCCAUCUCCUCCUCCACCUUACCACGACUCCUCUCCACCACCACCAUAUGAGUACAAAUCUCCUCCUCCACCAUCACCGUCACCUCCCCCACCUUACGAGUACAAGUCUCCUCCUCCUCCUUCACCGUCACCACCGCCACCAUACUACUACAAGUCACCGCCGCCACCAUCACCCUCUCCUCCUCCACCAUACUACUAUAAAUCUCCACCACCACCUUCUCCAUCUCCGCCGCCACCUUACCACUACUCUUCUCCACCACCACCUAAGAAAUCACCUCCACCACCAUACUACUACAAAUCUCCACCACCACCUUCGCCAUCUCCUCCUCCACCUUACCACUACUCCUCUCCACCACCACCUAAAAAAUCACCUCCACCACCAUACUACUAUAAGUCUCCACCACCACCUUCACCAUCUCCUCCACCACCGUACUACUAUAAGUCUCCGCCGCCACCAUCACCCUCUCCUCCACCACCAUACUAUUAUAAAUCCCCACCACCACCUUCACCAUCUCCUCCACCGCCGUACUACUACAAGUCCCCACCACCACCUUCUCCGUCUCCUCCACCACCAUAUUACUACAAAUCUCCACCACCGCCAUCACCAUCACCUCCACCACCAUACUACUACAAAUCUCCACCACCGCCAUCACCAUCACCUCCACCACCAUACUACUACACAUCCCCAAAUCUCCACCACCGCCAUCACCAUCACCUCCACCACCAUACUACUACAAAUCCCCUCCACCUCCGGCGAAAUCUCCCCCACCACCUCCGUACUAUUACAAGUCUCCGCCGCCAC
This 1376-nucleotide long non-coding RNA is filed under the name Linum usitatissimum (flax). RNAcentral describes it as "long non-coding RNA (LUSI_LNC005639)". The record is from RNAcentral. Lineage: Eukaryota; Viridiplantae; Streptophyta; Magnoliopsida; Malpighiales; Linaceae.